ACACACACACACACACACCCUCUGUUUUCAGAUGAGGUGUCUGGUUUCUGUCCAAGACCAAAGUCUGCCCUGGAUCUGACUCCUUUUGCCUUUUCUUAGACUUGUUUCAUUAUUGUUUCUGGCUUUCUCUCCUGAAUCUUAAGUCUCUUACUGUCUUCUUCCUCUUUAUCAAAUUUGUCCCAUUCUAAAAUUAGCCUCCUCUGACCCUUCAUAACUUGACUAGCUACUGCCUCACCCUUUUCCCCGUAAGCUUCUAAAAGGCAUAUAAAAUGCCUUCCUUGCCUCCUAGUCCCCUUCUUAACUGUGUCAGAAGCCAAGUUCCCUGGGAACCUCCUUGUGGUUACAGUAGAUGUCUCCAUUCAUAGAUGUCUGGAACUAGAAGUUUCUGGAGAGUUACAGAUGCAGUGUCUGCUGUACAUCCUGCUAGGUGUCCCGCAGGCACUGCACACUCUUUGCUACUUAACUACUAAGCCUUUCUUGUGUUCCCAGCCUCAUUUAGUGGCCUUCCCAGCAACUGGGCCUUCCAGUCCCCAAACCAGGGAGCUACCCUUAGGAACUUUUCUGAGCCCUCAUUCCCUUUUAAUUACUUAGCUCUUGCAUUGCAGCAUGCAUCAGAAUCACCGAGAGGGCUUGUGAAACAGUUACUGGGUGCCAUCCUGGAGUUGGUGACUCCGAAGGUCUGGAGUGGGGUCUGGGGAUCUGCAUUUCUGCAAGGUUCCAGGUGCUGCUGCUGGUUCAGGGAUCAGGCUUAUUGUAAAAACUUGAUGUAAAAUUUACCCAGUUAAAGUGUAUAAUUCAGUAAUUUUUCAUAAGUUUAUCAUGUGCAACCAUCACCAUUGAUAGUUAAUCCCGUUUGUACCUCCACUCCCAGCAAACCUCUAAUCUAUUUUGUACCCCUAUAACUUUUUAUUACUUCCAGACAUUUCAUUUAAAUGGAAUCCUAUAACCUGGAUCUUUAAGUCUGAUUUCUUUCACUUAACAUAAUGUUUAUAAGGUUCACCAUGUUCUAGCACGUAUUAAUAAAUAUUUCUUUUAUUGCUGAACAGAAUUCCAUCAUGUGGAUGUAGGACUAUACUUUGAGAAUCACUGCUUUGGUUCCACUGCCUACUGUCCUUAUUCAGGACCUCACCUUCUCUCUCCUGCACAACUGUUUUUCCCACCUCUUGACUGGAUUUUCUCUCCUUUUCCCCCAUACAUCUGUCACACGUCAACCAGCAAUGUUUCCAGAUGUAAAUCUCAUCAUGUCACUUGCCUGGUCAAAAGUUCUUCAAUAUAAUCAUUGUCCUGUGAGACGAAGCUGUCAUUUCUCACCCUGGCAAACUUAAUAGAACGCUGUCUCUCCAGCUUCAGGUCUUCUCAUUCCCUGCCUUGAAAUUCGGGGUGCAGUAGCACUGAACUGUUUGUAAAUCCUUUCCAUCCCCAAACAUCAUGCUGUUUUCCUGCCCCUCAAGCCCUUGGCUCAAGUGUGCCCUUGACCUGGAAUGUCCCUGUGCCUAACACCUACUCAUCAUUUGAAACUCUUCAUAGAUGCUUCACUGCUUUCUCCCAGAGUCCUUCCCUUUGAAUCCCAGGUGGGGUUUGCCCCUGCACUUAAGACUUCCAUGAUCCUCUGUGCCUUUCUCAAUUAUUUUAUUACAACACUGUAUUAAUCUAUUCUCUUGCCCACCAGGCUGUGAGAUAUUUGCUAUUUGCACUGGGAUGCUCAGCACCCAGCCCAAUACCUGUACAUAGUAGGUGCUUAUUACAUGUUUGUUGAAUAAACACUGAUGGGUGGCUGUCUGGAAGCAUUUCUUCUGUCCCCAUCUGCUCAGGCCCUGCAACACAUACUCUUAAGCAGUUAACAUGCUCAGGCCUUUUAAGGCAAUCACUAAAUCUUUCCACGUGGACAAAAUAAAACUGUGAAGGCAACAGGCCAAGAGAUCCAGGACUUUUUUUUUUUUUUCCUUGGCUGCAUUGUUUCCUGCUUUGCACUUAGAGAACGCCUUUUGGCCCUAAUGGAAGUUCUGAGGUCAAAGCAGGGCACUGGGAAGAUUAUUGCCCAUAAACUACCUGAUGCCAGCAACAGCCAGUUUUCCUCAUGGGCUGUAGGACAUAGGAGGACCCACUGGGCCGAGCUGACCAGUGUGAUAGGUAACACACACAGAUGAUUCAAGAUAAUUAGCAUCUAACCAAGUGUCCUUAACCGUCCUAUCCAGAAUGCCUAUCAUCAGGGUGUGAAAGCUGGCUCCCGUGCAGGUGUGUGCCGUGGGAGCUAGCCCACGGCCGGGUUCAAGGAGUUUGUUUCCUGCCAAAGGAUUCCCUUCCCCCUACACCCCUUCUAGCAGAUCAAAGGUAACAUGCCUGGAAAUCAUUUCCCUCUUGGUUUGAGAGUUCUGUGCUUGAAAGCAAAACUACUUGUUUAUAAAGAAAGAAAAAAAAAUGACAGGCAAGACAUCUAGGGGCACAGAGGGAGGAAAGGGAGAAUCAGAGCAUGUUUUAGACUGUAAAGAGCAUCUUUCAUGUGUAUCUAACAUCUAGUGAAAGUCUAAAUCUGGUAAAGGUUUCCUCUUUAGAAAGACCGUGUUCUGUCUUUCAGAGCUAAAUUCAGUACUCACUGUCACGUCACUGCCUAAAACCAUAUUUACGACCAUAUUUGAAGAAUAGAUGUUUCUCUCUGUGCCUGUCACUUUGACCACAUGCCGAGGCUAGGAAUGGACAGAGUUUUAGGUCCAGGGUGUCUAAUUCUUUGCAAAAACAGCAGCAUCAUUGUUACCACUUCCUGGGUACCUACUCUUUGCUUUAUAAUUUUGCUCUACUCAACAAAUUUAUAAGGCAUCUAUGAUACCCCUUUUAUAGAUGAGAAAAUUAAUAAGUUAAAUAACUUGCUCAUGGUCAAAUAGCUAAUACUUUUUACUGUGCUUGUUAAAGUUACAGGAAUGCUAAUAAUCAUAUCAUUCUUUGGCUUUUUUGUUUUUUGAAAGAAAAGAUUAAAACAAGGCCUGUGUAUAUACUUAGGUUAAAUGAUAGUCCCCUCCUCCCCAACCACCUCCCCUUUCUGUCUCUAAUGGCAGUCAUUUUUUUCCUGCCUUGCAACCACAGACAGAUCAUGCAUCUAACAAAUAUUCUAUCAGGUCAUUUUAUUUUCAUAAAACUUAUCUUGAGCUUUUUAUCUCAUUUCACUAUCAGAUUAGCCCCAAUUCCUGCUAUUUCUUAAUCUUUAGGAUUUUUUUUCUAGACUCUACACCCAUUUUAUUCUUUUCUCAUAACUACCCCGUGGAUUUUUUGUUUUUUUACCUUCAGUUUCUUUUGUAAAGUGGAGAUAAUGACAGCAGAUACUCUGGUAACAUCUGUAAAGUAGGGCUAGUGAUAGCAUACAUCCCAUGGGAGUGUUUUGAUGAUUAAGGAGACAACAGUGUGUAUAAAGUGCUACUGUAGAGCAAGGAGCUGAAAGUCUCCAGUCUUGUCUUUUUAAUACUUUGCCUUUAAGCCACAUGUGGCAGCUGUUGGCAACAUGAGGGGUGUUUGGCCUGAAUCGAGACGUGCUGUGGGUAUAAAAUACAUUCUGGAUUUUGAAGACUUAGUAUGAAAAAAUGUAAACUAUCUCAACUUUUUUUCUUAUUACAUAUUAAGAUAAUGUUUUGGCUAUAUUGGGUUAAAUAAAAUACAUUAUUAAAACUAA
Neofelis nebulosa (Clouded leopard) is the source of this 3658-nucleotide long non-coding RNA. RefSeq lists it as uncharacterized. NCBI's taxonomy places the organism in Eukaryota, Metazoa, Chordata, Mammalia, Carnivora, Felidae. The record is from RefSeq and is a predicted model, not a curated record. The transcript has 2 exons.